UUUAACGAGAGUUUGAUCCUGGCUCAGAAUCAACGCUGGCGGCGUGCCUCAGACAUGCAAGUCGUACGGUUAAAGCUCUCUUCGGAGAGUGUAUAAAGUGGCGUACGGGUGAGUAACACGUAAGUAAUCUACCUUUGGGUGGGGGAUAACUCAGGGAAACUUGAGCUAAUACCGCAUAAUGCAGCGGCUUCUUUGGAAGACAGUUGUUAAAGCAUUUAUGUGCCUGAAGAGGAGCUUGCGGCAGAUUAGCUAGUUGGUAAGGUAAUGGCUUACCAAGGCAACGAUCUGUAGCCGACCUGAGAGGGUGGUCGGUCACACUGACACUGAAUAACGGGUCAGACUCCUACGGGAGGCA
RNAcentral lists this ribosomal RNA (355 nucleotides) under Acidobacteriota bacterium. Its description in RNAcentral is "bacterial SSU rRNA". It matches the Rfam family "Bacterial small subunit ribosomal RNA", at positions 1 to 350 of the family's 1533-position model. Lineage: Bacteria; Pseudomonadati; Acidobacteriota. The record is from RNAcentral.